UGGGGAAUAUUGGACAAUGGGCGCAAGCCUGAUCCAGCCAUGCCGCGUGGGUGAAGAAGGCCUUCGGGUUGUAAAGCCCUUUUGUCCGGAAAGAAAAGCAUCGAGCUAAUACCUCGGUGUUCCUGACGGUACUGGAAGAAUAAGCACCGGCUAACUUCGUGCCAGCAGCCGCGGUAAUACGAAGGGUGCAAGCGUUACUCGGAAUUACUGGGCGUAAAGCGUGCGUAGGUGGUUCGUUAAGUCUGAUGUGAAAGCCCUGGGCUCAACCUGGGAAUUGCAUUGGAUACUGGCGGGCUAGAGUGCGGUAGAGGAUGGCGGAAUUCCCGGUGUAGCAGUGAAAUGCGUAGAGAUCGGGAGGAACAUCUGUGGCGAAGGCGGCCAUCUGGACCAGCACUGACACUGAGGCACGAAAGCGUGGGGAGCAAACAGGAUUAGAUACCCAAGUAGUCCCUGAGCGGGCUGGCAAGGCGCAU
RNAcentral lists this ribosomal RNA (473 nucleotides) under uncultured bacterium. Its description in RNAcentral is "bacterial SSU rRNA". It matches the Rfam family "Bacterial small subunit ribosomal RNA", at positions 355 to 825 of the family's 1533-position model. The record is from RNAcentral.